Molecule: ribosomal RNA, 428 nt
Filed under: uncultured bacterium
Lineage: Bacteria
Description: partial 16S ribosomal RNA
Rfam family: Bacterial small subunit ribosomal RNA
Source: RNAcentral
GUCGGGAGUCUUGCACAAUGGGGGAAACCCUGAUGCAGCGACGUCGCGUGUGGGAUGAAGUAUUUCGGUAUGUAAACCACUUUUGCGGGGGGCGAAAAAAAUGACGGUACCCCGCGAAUAAGCCCCGGCUAACUACGUGCCAGCAGCCGCGGUAAUACGUAGGGGGCGAGCGUUGCUCGGAUUGACUGGGCGUAAAGCGCGCGUAGGCGGUCCAUUAAGUGUGCGGUGAAAUUCGGAGGCUCAACCUCCGUCCCGCCGCGCAAACUGAUGGUCUUGAGAUUGGGAGGGGGAUGCGGAAUUCCUGGUGUAGCGGUGAAAUGCGUAGAUAUUAGGAGGAACACCAGUGGCGAAGGCGACUUUCUGGACUGUAACUGACACUGAGGCACGAAAGCGUGGGUAGCAAACAGGAUUAGAUACCCGGGUAGUCC